UCCGGUGACCAUAUCCAUGUGGAAACACACGUUCCCAUUCCGAACACGACCGUUAAGCACAUGGAGCCGAUGAUAGUGCCGCAAGGUGCGAAAGUAGGUCAUUGCCGGUU
RNAcentral lists this ribosomal RNA (110 nucleotides) under Thalassoglobus polymorphus. Lineage: Bacteria; Pseudomonadati; Planctomycetota; Planctomycetia; Planctomycetales; Planctomycetaceae. The record is from RNAcentral.